AGAAUCAACGCUGGCGGCGUGCCUAACACAUGCAAGUCGCACGAGAAAGGGGCUUCGGCCCUGAGUACAGUGGCGCACGGGUGAGUAACACGUGAAUCAUCUACCUUCGAGUGUGGAAUAACUGAGAGAAAUCUUAGCUAAUACCGCAUAAUACUUACGAGUCAAAGCAGCAAUGCGCUUGAAGAGGAGUUCGCGGCAGAUUAGUUAGUUGGCGGGGUAAUGGCCCACCAAGACGAUGAUCUGUA
Molecule: ribosomal RNA, 245 nt
Filed under: uncultured bacterium
Lineage: Bacteria
Description: partial small subunit ribosomal RNA
Rfam family: Bacterial small subunit ribosomal RNA
Source: RNAcentral